AUGGGGUGCUGCUCACCAUUCAAACAGAGAGGAGUUGAAUUCUCUCCAGCUAUAAGGUGCAGUCACAUUUACCAGCAUUUUCAUGUGCCCGGCUUUCAGCUGUUUAGAGCACAUCACAACGCAGAAUCAACGGGGAAAUCGCGCUGCGGCAGGACAUGUUUUUACAUCAACGAAAGGUGGUGUACAGAUGUAACAAUGUUAAAGAAGAUGUGCUGUAAAACCGCAUUUUUCCAUCUCAAAAAUAUAUCUAAAUUACAGCCUAUGGUCUCAAUGUCAAACGCAGAAAUGUUAAUCCAUGGGUUUAUGACCUCAAGGUUAGAUUAGUGUAAUGCUUUAUUGGGUGGUUGUUCUGCACGCUUCAUAAACAAACUCCAGCUAGUCCAAAAUGCAGCAGCUAGAGUUCUUACUAGAACCAGGAAGUAUGACCAUAUUAGCCCGUUUCUGUCAACACUGCACUGGCUCCCUAUCAAACAUCAUAUAGAUUUUAAAAUCUUGUUUAUUACUUAUAAAGCCCUGAAUGGUUUAGCACCUCAGUAUUUGAACGAGCUCUUGUUACAUUAUAGUCCUCCAUGUCUGCUGUGUUCUCAAACUCUGGCAAUUUGAUAAUACCUAGAAUAUCAAAGUGAACUGUGGGUGCCAGAUUCUUUUCCUAUUUAGCGCCUAAACUCUGGAAUAACCUACCUAACAUUGUUCGGGAGGCAGACACACUCUUGUAGUUUAAAUCUAGAUUAAAGACCUAUCUCUUUAACCAGGCUUACACAUAACACACUAAUACGCUUCUAAUAUCCAAAUCCGUUAAAGGAUUUUUAGGCUGCAUUAAUUAGGUAAACCGGAAACCGGGAACACUUCCCAUAACACCUGAUGUACUUGCUACAUUGUUAUAAGAAUGGCAUCUACGCUAAUAUUAGUCUGUUUCUCUCUUAUUUCGAGGUCACCAUAGCCACCAGAUCCAGUACGUAUCCAGACCAGAUGGUGGAUCAGCACUUAGAAAGGACCUCUACAGCCCUGAAAGACAGUGGAGACCAGGACAACUAGAUGAGCCCCAGAGACAGAUCCCCUGUAAUGACCUUGUCUCAGACAACCACUGGGACAAGACCACAGGAACCAGUUGAGUCCUCUGCACAAUGUGACUUUGCUGCAGCUUGGAAUUGAACUGCUGGUUUCGUCUGGCCAGAUGAGAACUGGCCCCCUGAGCCUGGUUUCUCCCAAGGUUUUUUCUCCAUUCUGUCACCGAUGGAGUUUUGGUUCCUUGCCGCUGUCGCAUCUGGCUUGCUUAGUUGGGGAGACUUCAUUUACAGCGAUAUUGUUGACUUGAUUGCAAAUGAUUGCACAGAUACUAUUUAAACUGAAAUGAGAUUAAUGACAUCACUGAAUUCAAUGAUGAAUUGCCUUUAACCGUCAUUUUGCAUUAUUGAAACACUGUUUUCCUAAUUAAUGUUGUUCAGUUGCUUUGACACAAUCUUUUUGUUUAAAGUGCUAUAUAAAUAAAGGUGACUUGACUUGACUGUCCUGAUCUAGAAGCGCGCUUCAUUAACUCUAAGCCGUUCUAUUCGCCGCGGGAGUUUUGCUCGUUCAUUCCCGUGAGUGUUUACAUUCCUCCGCAAGCGCACAUGAGCUCAGCUUUACAGAAACUUUCUGACAGACAGGCAGCAGCUAGUGAGACUGGGAAAGUUCUCAUCCAGCACCCAUGUGAUCAGCAAUGGCGCUCCCCAGGGUUGCGUCCUUUCCCCACUGCUCUUCUCCCUCUACUCCAGUGACUGCACAUCUAUAGACCCC
Molecule: long non-coding RNA, 1776 nt
Organism: Cyprinus carpio carpio
Lineage: Eukaryota; Metazoa; Chordata; Actinopteri; Cypriniformes; Cyprinidae
Source: Ensembl